CCUACGGGAGGCAGCAGUGGGGAAUAUUGCACAAUGGGGGAAACCCUGAUGCAGCGACGCCGCGUGAGUGAAGAAGUAUUUCGUUAUGUAAAGCUCUAUCAGCAGGGAAGAAAAUGACGGUACCUGACUAAGAAGCCCCGGCUAACUACGUGCCAGCAGCCGCGGUAAUACGUAGGGGGCAAGCGUUAUCCGGAUUUACUGGGUGUAAAGGGAGCGUAGACGGCAGUGCAAGUCUGGUGUGAAAGGCGGGGGCUCAACCCCCGGACUGCACUUGAAACUGUACGGCUGGAGUGCAGGAGAGGUAAGUGGAAUUCCUAGUGUAGCGGUGAAAUGCGUAGAUAUUAGGAGGAACACCAGUGGCGAAGGCGGCUUACUGGACUGUAACUGACGUUGAGGCACGAAAGCGUGGGGAGCAAACAGGAUUAGAUACCCCAGUAGUC
RNAcentral lists this ribosomal RNA (440 nucleotides) under uncultured bacterium. RNAcentral describes it as "partial 16S ribosomal RNA". It matches the Rfam family "Bacterial small subunit ribosomal RNA", at positions 338 to 795 of the family's 1533-position model. The record is from RNAcentral.